Transfer RNA from Selaginella moellendorffii, 71 nucleotides. It matches the Rfam family "tRNA". Rfam says of the family: Transfer RNA (tRNA) molecules are approximately 80 nucleotides in length. NCBI's taxonomy places the organism in Eukaryota, Viridiplantae, Streptophyta, Lycopodiopsida, Selaginellales, Selaginellaceae. The record is from Rfam.
GCGUCAGUAGUCCAACGGUUAGGAUAAUUGCCUUCCAGCAAUAGACCGGAGUUCGACUCUCGGCUGACGCA